Molecule: ribosomal RNA, 251 nt
Filed under: uncultured bacterium
Lineage: Bacteria
Description: partial 16S ribosomal RNA
Rfam family: Bacterial small subunit ribosomal RNA
Source: RNAcentral
UACGUAGGUCCCGAGCGUUGUCCAGAUUUAUUGGGCGUAAAGCGAGCGCGGUGGUUUAUUAAGUCUGGUGUAAAAGGCAGUGGCUCAACCAUUGUAUGCAUUGGAAACUGGUAGACUUGAGUGCAGGAGAGGAGAGUGGAAUUCCAUGUGUAGCGGUGAAAUGCGUAGAUAUAUGGAGGAACACCGGUGGCGAAAGCGGCUCUCUAGCCUGUAACUGACACUGAGGCUCGAAAGCGUGGGGAGCAAACAGG